RNAcentral lists this ribosomal RNA (812 nucleotides) under uncultured bacterium. RNAcentral's name for it is "bacterial SSU rRNA". It matches the Rfam family "Bacterial small subunit ribosomal RNA", at positions 60 to 868 of the family's 1533-position model. The record is from RNAcentral.
AGUCGAGGGGCAGCACGAGGUAGCAAUACUUUGGUGGCGACCGGCGCACGGGUGAGUAACGCGUAUGUAACCUACCCUGUACAGGGGGAUAGCCCGGAGAAAUUCGGAUUAAUACCCCAUAAUGAUAUUUUAGGGCAUCCUAGAAUAUUUAAAGCUUCGGCGGUACGGGAUGGGCAUGCGUGACAUUAGCUAGUUGGUAAGGUAACGGCUUACCAAGGCUUCGAUGUCUAGGGGUCCUGAGAGGGUGAUCCCCCACACUGGUACUGAGACACGGACCAGACUCCUACGGGAGGCAGCAGUGAGGAAUAUUGGUCAAUGGGCGUAAGCCUGAACCAGCCAUCCCGCGUGAAGGAAGAAGGCGCUAUGCGUCGUAAACUUCUUUUCCAGAGGAAGAAAACCCCCGACGUGUCGGGGCUUGCCGGUACUCUGGGAAUAAGCAUCGGCUAACUCCGUGCCAGCAGCCGCGGUAAUACGGAGGAUGCAAGCGUUAUCCGGAUUUAUUGGGUUUAAAGGGUGCGUAGGCGGAUUAAUAAGUCAGUGGUGAAAACCUUCAGCUUAACUGGAGAACUGCCAUUGAUACUGUUAGUCUUGAGUACGGUCAAGGUAGGCGGAAUGUGUAAUGUAGCGGUGAAAUGCUUAGAUAUUACACAGAACACCGAUUGCGAAGGCAGCUUACUGGGCCAUUACUGACGCUGAGGCACGAAAGCGUGGGGAGCGAACAGGAUUAGAUACCCUGGUAGUCCACGCCGUAAACGAUGAUCACUCGCUGUUGGCGAUACACAGUCAGCGGCUAAGCAAAAGCAUUAAGUGAU